UUGGUCAUACAAAGUAGAGAUGAUUAGCAUCUUCCCUUACAUGGUCGGGAUAGCCUUCAGGCUUUACCUGAUCCGAGCAGUUGUCUCUGCUUUUCAUUUUU
This 101-nucleotide non-coding RNA is filed under the name Solanum lycopersicum (tomato). Lineage: Eukaryota; Viridiplantae; Streptophyta; Magnoliopsida; Solanales; Solanaceae. The record is from RNAcentral.